Salvia miltiorrhiza (redroot sage) is the source of this 411-nucleotide long non-coding RNA. RefSeq lists it as uncharacterized. The record is from RefSeq and is a predicted model, not a curated record. The transcript is spliced from 4 exons. Lineage: Eukaryota; Viridiplantae; Streptophyta; Magnoliopsida; Lamiales; Lamiaceae.
GCGGGCUAAUCUGCCUAUAAAUUGAGGGCUUCAUAGAAGCCUGAAAAUCACCAACUACGAUUCCCCCUCCUUCCUUUAUGCACCAAAAAUCAUAGAGAGUUUAUUUCAGCUGCAAUCUGGACCCCAAGAGUUUAUUCACUCCUGAAUUCAUUAGCACAGCAGCCAACCAAGCACAAAACACACAAGGUCAAGCACAAGAGUUUAAGGCUUAGUCGUGAGUCUCUACUACCAGGUUGAGCUGUGAUGAACGAUGAAGUGUUGCUGAGUGGAGCUUUUGUCGAACUUAGAAUAGGCUCAGAAAGGAUAUGUGUCUGCAUACAUGUAUCUCAGUCUUGCCUUCCGCUGCAAACACUGAUUAUGAUUUAGUCAAGUCUAUAACUAUAUGCCAAUUACUCUUCAAAGAAAUAUCUA